AGCGAACGCUGGCGGCAAGCUUAACACAUGCAAGUCGAACGCUGUAGCAAUACAGAGUGGCGGACGGGUGUAUAACACGUGGGAACCUGCCUUUAGGUACGGAAUAACUCAGGGAAACUUGGGCUAAUACCGUAUAAUAUCUCCGGAUCAAAGAUUUAUCGCCUAAAGAUGGGCCCGCGGUGGAUUAGCUAGUUGGUGAGGUAAUGGCUCACCAAGGCUACGAUCCAUAGCUGGUUUGAGAGGAUGACCAGCCACACUGGGACUGAGACACGGCCCAGACUCCUACGGGAGGCAGCAGUGGGGAAUAUUGGGCAAUGGGCGAAAGCCUGACCCAGCUAUGCCGCGUGAGUGAUGAAGGCCUCGGUUGUAAGCUCUUUAGUGGGUACGAUGAUGACGGUACCACCACGAAAAGACCCGGCUACGCUUCGUG
Molecule: ribosomal RNA, 430 nt
Filed under: uncultured bacterium
Lineage: Bacteria
Description: bacterial SSU rRNA
Rfam family: Bacterial small subunit ribosomal RNA
Source: RNAcentral